GUACUGUGCAAACGUUAUUCGGAAUCACUGGGCUUAAAGGGUGCGUAGGCGGCGGGAUAAGUAGGGGUGUGAAAGUCCCCGGCCCAACCGGGGAAUUGCGCUCUAAACUGUUCCGCUUGAGUGAGAUAGGGGUGCGUGGAACUUCCAGUGGAGCGGUGAAAUGUGUUGAUAUUGGAAGGAACGCCGGUAGCGAAAGCGGCGCACUGGGUCUCAACUGACGCUGAGGCACGAAAGCCAGGGGAGCGAACGGGAUUAGAUACCCCGGUAGUCCUGGCUGUAAACGAUGAGCACUAGUCGGGAAGGGUUUCGGCCCAUCCGGACGCAGCGAAAGCAUUAAGUGCUCCGCCUGGGGAGUAUGGUCGCAAGGCUG
RNAcentral lists this ribosomal RNA (370 nucleotides) under uncultured organism. RNAcentral's name for it is "partial 16S ribosomal RNA". It matches the Rfam family "Bacterial small subunit ribosomal RNA", at positions 527 to 896 of the family's 1533-position model. The record is from RNAcentral.